CCGCACUCCUGGCCCCGGGCGAUGGAGCGCCCGCCCACGUGACUGCUCACGUCAUUUCCUGUUGUACGGAUUUUUUUUUUUUUUUUUUUUUUUCAAUCUCAACAGGGACUGUGGUGAAGGAGAUAAGGCAGUGUGAUCUCUGUGGAUGGAGGGAAUGGGUGAUUUGGAACUGUGGUGGGUAUAAUACUUGCUUGAAGCACCUGUGCGGACAGAAAUUGCUCAUCUGUUUGGAACGAGGGUAAAAGACACUGAAGCUAAACAUUAUUUAUCGAGACAUCACCGCUCUUCACUCAC
This 294-nucleotide long non-coding RNA is filed under the name Mustela putorius furo (domestic ferret). RNAcentral describes it as "lncRNA (ENSMPUG00000031655.1)". The record is from RNAcentral. Lineage: Eukaryota; Metazoa; Chordata; Mammalia; Carnivora; Mustelidae.